RNAcentral lists this ribosomal RNA (467 nucleotides) under uncultured bacterium. RNAcentral's name for it is "partial 16S ribosomal RNA". It matches the Rfam family "Bacterial small subunit ribosomal RNA", at positions 28 to 507 of the family's 1533-position model. The record is from RNAcentral.
GAUGAACGCUGGCGGCGUGCUUAACACAUGCAAGUCGAACGGAAAGGCCCAAGCUUGCUUGGGUACUCGAGUGGCGAACGGGUGAGUAACACGUGGGUGAUCUGCCCUGCACUUCGGGAUAAGCCUGGGAAACUGGGUCUAAUACCGGAUAGGACCACAUUUUGGAUGGUGUGGUGGAAAGUUUUUCGGUGUGGGAUGAGCUCGCGGCCUAUCAGCUUGUUGGUGGGGUAAUGGCCUACCAAGGCGUCGACGGGUAGCCGGCCUGAGAGGGUGUACGGCCACAUUGGGACGGAGAUACGGCCCAGACUCCUACGGGAGGCAGCAGUGGGGAAUAUUGCACAAUGGGCGCAAGCCUGAUGCAGCGAAGCCGCGUGGGGGAUGACGGCCUUCGGGUUGUAAACUCCUUUCGCUAGGGACGAAGCGUUUUUGUGACGGUACCUGGAGAAGAAGCACCGGCUAACUACGUG